This 449-nucleotide ribosomal RNA is filed under the name uncultured Lachnospiraceae bacterium. RNAcentral's name for it is "partial 16S ribosomal RNA". Lineage: Bacteria; Bacillati; Bacillota; Clostridia; Lachnospirales; Lachnospiraceae. The record is from RNAcentral.
CACGUAGUUAGCCGGGGCUUCUUAGUCAGGUACCGUCAUUUUCGUCCCUGCUGAUAGAAGUUUACAUACCGAAAUACUUCUUCCUUCACGCGGCGUCGCUGCAUCAGGGUUUCCCCCAUUGUGCAAUAUUCCCCACUGCUGCCUCCCGUAGGAGUUUGGGCCGUGUCUCAGUCCCAAUGUGGCCGUUCACCCUCUCAGGCCGGCUACUGAUCGUCGCCUUGGGUCGGGCCGUUACCUCACCAACCAGCUAAUCAGACGCGGGUCCAUCUCAUACCACCGGAGUUUUUCACACUGUUCCAUGCGAAACCGUGCGCUUAUGCGGUAUUAGCAGUCUAUUUCUAACUUGUUACUUCCCCCUGUAUGAGGCAGGUUACCCACGCGUUACUCACCCGUCCGCCACUCAGUACAAAGAAGCCUUACGAAACCGAAGUAAUCCGUCUUUCAGUUCG